Molecule: ribosomal RNA, 207 nt
Filed under: uncultured soil bacterium
Lineage: Bacteria
Description: partial 16S ribosomal RNA
Rfam family: Bacterial small subunit ribosomal RNA
Source: RNAcentral
AGAUUGAACGCUGGCGGCAUGCCUAACACAUGCAAGUCGAACGGGAGUAGCAAUACUCUAGUGGCGGACGGGUGAGGAAUACGUAGGAAUUUGCCCUUAAGUGGGGGAUAACCCGAGGAAACCCGGAUUAAUACCGCAUGACCUCGAAAGAGCAAAGUGGGGGAUCGCAAGACCUCACGCUUUUGGAGAAGCCUACGUCGGAUUAGC